CAGUUAUUAACGGACGGCUGUGUAGAGCAAUGGGAGAUGUGUAGUAUCUCUUUCGUCCUUUCCUUCUUUGUUUCUUUAAUUUUACUAGUCUUUCCAUCCCUGAAGGUCAGGUUUCGGAGGUGAACUGACCCACAAAGUUUGAGUGCUUUCCGUAACAGGUGGCUGAUGUAGCAAGUGGUGCCACUGCCCUCUGACUGGAUCAAUGUCUAACAGUUUAUCCCGGGCAAACCAAUGGAGAUGAAUGUCCCUGGCCAAAUGCAGGGAAUCGUUUUUAGUCCCUGUCCAUAAUCCCUUCAGCUGCUUGAGGUAGAAGAUUGUGCCUUCUGCUCUGUGUUGUUGGAUCAUUUCAUGUCCUUGGUAAUGUAAACACUGAGGGACAGGAGGACAGGUAGGGGCAGAGCAUUUAUCCCUGGGGGGGCCCAUGUGGUGGAGGUCAUAUUGUCUGUCCUGACCACCUGGGGUUGGUCCUUUAGGAGGUCGAUGAUCCACUUUUCGCAGACGUCUCAGCGUCCUGACACGCUAGGAGAAUGCUGGUGUUAAAAUCUGAGCCGUAGUCAAUAAACCUGCAGGUGUUUGUCGUGUCCAGUUGAGUUGUAAUGUGCAGUUCAGUGGCUGUUUGGGUAAUCUACGGCUCUGUUUAGGUAAUCUAUGGCUCUGUUUGGGUCAUCUAUGGCUCUGUUUGGGUCAUCUAUGGCUCUGUUUGGGUAAUCUAUGGCUCUGUUUAGGUAAUCUACGGCUCUGUUUAGGUAAUCUACGGCUCAGUUUGGGUAAUCCAUGGCUCUGUUUGGGUCAUCCAUGUCUCUGUUUGGGCCAUCCAUGUCUCUGUUUGGGUCCUCUAUAUUUGGGCACUAGGCAAACUGCAAUGGGUCCAGAGUGAUGGUCUGAUGGAGGUUUGUGCUUCUUAGCAAGCCUCUCAAAGCAUUUCUCAUUCUGUGUGCGUGCAUGUUUUUGGUUGUGUGUGUGACAUUCCUACUCUGUGUGUGUGUGUGUCAGAGAUUUCUGGGUGAGCUUUUCUCUAAAGAUAGACAUUGGAACAUCUGUCAGACUAUGGCAGUAGUGAGGUGGUAUGUAACAGUAUGAAUAUUUCCACUGUGGUGGCCCCAUCCUUUUUCACCCCAGUUUCCUCUUGACAGAGGCUGAGAGCCACCGCCUCACCACCCACUGGGCUUCUGGUGAACGUCUAGAAACUUCCGGCCUUGCAUAGAGAACUAGGAGGCAACAGUAGUCUGUUGUAAAAGUCUCAUUGGAAAGCCAGAGAGUAAUCUUUACAGAUUAGAUAGAGCUGGGAGAGGAGAGUUUGGCUGUGUUUAACCCAUAUUACACUCUGCUGCUGCCGCAGUGCUUAAUUAAAACUACCCACAAUUCCCUGUGUGCUGGGUGGAGAGUUGACACCAAGGUAAGGUCCUGGCUCCAGUGAGAACGCACACACACAAAAACACAUAGGAACAUCUAAACACAUUAAUGCAUCUAAAAAUACAAAGACAUGUAAACACAUUAAAACAUAUUUGCAUACACAUAGGUUUAAUUUCCUUCCACUCAUAUACAAUACAUAAAGGAUGAAAUGCAACAGCUUUAAAUGUGAAAUGUUGCAACAUAGCAAGAACAAUCUGUCAUCUCCUGCUGUUCAUCACUGCAGCAAACAAACCAUGAAACCUAGACUGUAAGGAACCAGUCACCUUUUCCUGUUGCUUUCCUUCUGCUAACUGUGACUCUCCAUCUCUAACAAUACUCAGUAUACACUCUCCUCAUCCUCAUCACCAGUUUUAAAUUUAUUUGACUCUCAUUUCCAGAUUUUUGCUCUUUCAUUAGACUGAAUGUACUGUAGUAAUCUCAAUAUUGACAAUUCAUUUAAAAACUGAACUGAACGUUGUUUACUGCACCUGGCAUCAUUGGAAGUUCUUAUUAAAACGUCCUUAAUGUUCUUUGCAAAAAAAACUACAUCUUGAAGUGAUGAUUGUGUGAUUUCCUGUCUCGUUAAAAAUAAUGAUGUUAUGUAA
Long non-coding RNA from Esox lucius (northern pike), 1997 nucleotides. Lineage: Eukaryota; Metazoa; Chordata; Actinopteri; Esociformes; Esocidae. The record is from Ensembl.